CCUACGGGAGACAGCAGUGGGGAAUAUUGGGCAAUGGGCGCAAGCCUGACCCAGCAACGCCGCGUGAAGGAAGAAGGCUUUCGGGUUGUAAACUUCUUUUGUCAGGGAAGAGUAGAAGACGGUACCUGCCGAAUAAGCCACGGCUAACUACGUGCCAGCAGCCGCGGUAAUACGUAGGUGGCAAGCGUUGUCCGGAUUUACUGGGUGUAAAGGGCGUGUAGCCGGGUUGACAAGUCAGAUGUGAAAUCCUGCGGCUUAACCGCAGAACUGCAUUUGAAACUGUUUAUCUUGAGUACUGGAGAGGCAGACGGAAUUCCUAGUGUAGCGGUGAAAUGCGUAGAUAUUAGGAGGAACACCAGUGGCGAAGGCGGUCUGCUGGACAGCAACUGACGGUGAGGCGCGAAAGCGUGGGGAGCAAACAGGAUUAGAUACCCCAGUAGUC
RNAcentral lists this ribosomal RNA (442 nucleotides) under uncultured bacterium. RNAcentral's name for it is "partial 16S ribosomal RNA". It matches the Rfam family "Bacterial small subunit ribosomal RNA", at positions 338 to 795 of the family's 1533-position model. The record is from RNAcentral.